UACGAAGGGGGGCUAGCGUUGCUCGGAAUACUGGGCGUAAAGCGCACGCAGGCGGUCUGCUAAGUUUGGAGUGACAGUUGGUGGCUUAACUGCCAAAGUGCUUCGAAAAACUGACAGACUUGAGGGCUUCAGAGGGACACGGAAUUCCGGGUGGAGUGGUGAAAUGCGUAGAGAUUGGAAAGAACACCGAUGGCGAAGGCACUUUACUGGGCUAUUACUAACACUCAGAGACGAAAGCUAGGGUAGCAAAUGGG
Molecule: ribosomal RNA, 254 nt
Filed under: uncultured bacterium
Lineage: Bacteria
Description: partial 16S ribosomal RNA
Rfam family: Bacterial small subunit ribosomal RNA
Source: RNAcentral